GGGCGGWUCCCCGCCCCCGACGUCGCGAGAAGUCCAUUGAACCUUAUCAUUUAGAGGAAGGAGAAGUCGUAACAAGGUUUCCGUAGGUGAACCUGCGGAAGGAUCAUU
This 108-nucleotide ribosomal RNA is filed under the name Poa ircutica. RNAcentral's name for it is "partial 18S ribosomal RNA". It matches the Rfam family "Eukaryotic small subunit ribosomal RNA". The record is from RNAcentral. Lineage: Eukaryota; Viridiplantae; Streptophyta; Magnoliopsida; Poales; Poaceae.